RNAcentral lists this ribosomal RNA (405 nucleotides) under uncultured bacterium. RNAcentral describes it as "bacterial SSU rRNA". It matches the Rfam family "Bacterial small subunit ribosomal RNA", at positions 370 to 772 of the family's 1533-position model. The record is from RNAcentral.
AAUGGAGGGAACUCUGAACCAGCCAUCCCGCGUGAAGGAUGAAGGGGCUCUGCCUUGUAAACUUCUUUUGCAUGGGACGAAAAAACUUAAUUUAUUAAGGACUGACGGUACCAUGAGAAUAAGCACCGGCUAACUCCGUGCCAGCAGCCGCGGUAAUACGGAGGGUGCGANCGUUAUCCGGAAUCACUGGGUUUAAAGGGUGCGUAGGCGGUUUGAUAAGUCAGUGGUGAAAGGCCGUCGCUUAACGAUGGGACUGCCAUUGAUACUGUUAGACUUGAAUCAGGAUGAGGUUGGCGGAAUGUGGCAUGUAGCGGUGAAAUGCUUAGAUAUGCCAUGGAAUACCGAUUGCGAAGGCAGCUGACUGGACCUGAAUUGACGCUGAGGCACGAAAGCGUGGGGAGCGAA